UGGUGUAGUGUUAAGGUUUGACUUAUGAGUGGUGUAGUGUUAAGGUUUGACUUGUGAGUGGUGUAGUGUUAAGAAGUCUUUGAGAAGCCCUGCACUGAAUGGGAUGCGGGGCCAGAUCAGAGCCAUGCCAAAGAACUGGGAAGGAUGGUCACAUCCACCCAGGAGCACAACAUAGACUUACCUUUCCACCCAGGAGCACAACAUAGACUUACCUGUCCAUGCAGUCAAAGUUGAAGCUCACUGAAACUUUCAUUGUAUGUACUCUCUAGUUAGGGCAUAGGACACCACUUAGAGCCCUAAACAAAUGGAAGCUUGUCAUCUAGUAGUUAGUGUGUAUAGCAGUGAUUUCUUUUCAACUCAUUUCCCAAUUUCAUUUUAACCUAAACAGUAGAUAAAGAGAGAUAAACAAACAGACAUAAUUUCAACCUGUACCGCCAAAAUCCUGCUGUGAGACAGAGUGUGUAUAAUAAUUUUUUAGCAAAAUGGAUUAUCUCUCUUUUGGAAACAAGAUGUUUGGAGGUGAGCCACAUAAUGUUCUGAGCUGAUUUUGGCUGCCAUGAAUGGCGUUAAUGGAGCUGGGGCUAAAGAAGCACAACUGCCAAAAAGAGAGAGAGAGGGAGAACAUUUUGUAAACACACACUUUUCGUAAACACACCUGGAAAAGACAAGGCAAACCGGGGAAACGCGGCCAAAAUAUUUCUCAGACGGAGGUUUCUGUGACCUUGAGAAGUGAACAGUCUCCGGUCCUAGAUGAAUGCAGCGCUGUGUCUGAGUGGCAGAUCUGCCGUUAGAUGUUGCUUCUAGAAUUCUUCCAAGAUUAGACCGUUUUUAUCUUUCACUGUGGCGCCCCUAGAUAUCUUUUUCAUCGAAGGUUUCCAGUCAGUUCCUUUGGGCAUCUGAUGGGAACGCUCCUUUAUGGCUGUCGUGGAGAUUAAAUGUGUCUCUCAGGCCUGUGUGACAGAUAGUGCCCGCCAUGUGAAUUACGGGUAUCUCAGCCAUCAUUCUGCACAAUUAACCCAGUGCUGUUUGUUACGUGCUGUUAGUUUUGGGGUUAUGAUUGCGGCUAUGAUUCUGCCGCUGCCACUUCCCCUGCCAUCUCAUUGAGAGGUUAUGGAGCAGUGUGGAAAUUUACAGCUUCUAAUAUGGAGGUUUCAAUCUCAUACAUCUCCCUGCGGGGGGAGAGGGGAGGUGUUUGCUCCUGUGUUUAUGGGGGCAGGGGCUGUUUUUUUUUUGUUGUUUUUUUUUUUUUUUCAAUAGCUCCGCACUGUGUCGUUUUAGGACAAAGAAACAAAGUAGGCAGCUUCCUGAUUCUAGGUGUUUCAAUAGCUGCAAGCCUCCACACAGCUUGGGUAUCCUAGUAACGGAGUGAGAGGCCUACAUAUGAACAGUUAUGUAAAUGAAUAACAAUUGUUCAUCAAAAUGGCUGAAAGAGCUUUUACUUUGCAACCAGAAUGUCACAGGCAUUCACUGACAAAGCCACAAAUCAAAAUUAUGGUAAUUAAAUCCCAUUUUUUGAGGCCAUAUCAAUUCGGAUUUCUCAUACGAGUAGCAUUGUACUUGUAACAUUAAAUGCAAGUGGUCUCGCAAAUGGAGAUUUCAAAAUGUCCACCAGAACUCAAGUUUCCCCUGCUCUACUUUACUACCCAUUCCGUUCA
Long non-coding RNA from Clupea harengus (Atlantic herring), 1655 nucleotides. NCBI's taxonomy places the organism in Eukaryota, Metazoa, Chordata, Actinopteri, Clupeiformes, Clupeidae. The record is from Ensembl.